UGAAGAUUAAAUGGUUAUAAUGCUGAGCAACCAAUCUUGGGGGAAAUGCUGUCUAUUAUUUAUUUAAAAAUAUUAAGGCAAAAUAACCUUUUGGUGUUUGUGCCAAAUGAAAUCUAUGGCGUGACAAUAAAAAGUGAUUGGAAGUUUCUUCAGAAUAUUGUCGAUUCUGUUACAGAAUAAAUACAUAAAGAACCUCAGGUUUCAUUCAAGGGAAGGAGCCUAUGCCAACAUUGAGUUUCAAGAAUUGAAUGAAUUUCUUAAGAACGUUUAAAAACAUCUCAACUUCCAGCUUCUUACAUCCAUGACCUCACUAUUUUUAUAUCCUUUCUCUCGUGAAAAGGUGCCAAUUUUUCGAUUCAAAAGACACACAACACAAAAAUUAAAUAUAUUUCCCACCCCUUAUAAUGAAUUAUAAAAUGAAUGCCAAGCUAAUAAAUUUUCCUUAAUAAUAUCCCAAUAAUUAUGAAUGAAAAACAUACAGAAAUGGCCAUACCCAGCUGCCUUUUACCUUCAUGAGCCUAACACACCCAUCCUGGUUUCCCCUAGGAUGUUCUGAAAAAGAUUUGGAAGAGCAAUUGAUCCGAGUCCCCUGCAUUAAUGUCCCAACAUACAUUUUUUACGGUAAAAGGUGAAUAAUGGAAGUUAGCAGGCUUGUAAACAGUCUAAUUUCCCUCCUCGAGGCUCGAACCGAGAAUCAGAAUUUCUAAGUAUCAUGAUGGGUUUUUCUUCUCUUUCCGUCAAUAGAUACUAUGGAAAAUUGUGCUAAAAUUACACCCAACUCAACCUGUGAGGCUAUCUGAUUCUUUUCAUCGACAAGUCAUGCUUCGGCACUAUGUGCAUGAACGAUGAGUGAUUCGAUCCUAUCGUGUUGGGAUAGAUCAAUACAAUUCUCUACAACCUUUGAGUUCUAACACCAACUGGCUUUUUUGUCAAGUGUGUGCUGAAGCUUCGGCCAUAUAUGAUAUUUUUGGAGAGCAAUGAAAGCUAAUUUCUGAAAUUCUAUUUUUCACAAUAAGGAUAUCCAUAACAGUCUUCCCUCCAUGCUUCAACGAAGGGCAUGGAACCAGAGAAAUACGGGGGCAGCAACAUCGGAAGCCGUUACAAAGUGGCCGGCGAUAUUUGGGAUGCUUCGACAAAGUGAAAUCCCCGCCACCGGCGCAGCAGCAGGGGCGAUCACAAGUCAUUUCCUAACCGACAAUGCCAAGUAGAGAACUCGGGGAAGAGCGAGGAAGGCAGCCAAGAGGCAAGGCCGCCACAACAAGAACAAACGAACAACAAAACAGGAGAGGUGGCGGAGGAGAAGAGGAUCGAGCAGCUUACCUCGAUCGAGACGAACGCGGCGGGAUGGAACAGUUCUCCUCCACGGGCUAGGAGCGGACGAGGGCGUGGAAAAUUCUGCAAGUGAUGGAGAGAAAGGGGAUACUCUCGAGGCAGACUUCAUUUCAUAUUUCAGUUAAAACAAUACCUCUGCAACACCU
Molecule: long non-coding RNA, 1478 nt
Filed under: Spirodela polyrhiza (greater duckweed)
Lineage: Eukaryota; Viridiplantae; Streptophyta; Magnoliopsida; Alismatales; Araceae
Description: long non-coding RNA (SPOL_LNC001752)
Source: RNAcentral